Molecule: long non-coding RNA, 303 nt
Filed under: Gossypium barbadense (sea-island cotton)
Lineage: Eukaryota; Viridiplantae; Streptophyta; Magnoliopsida; Malvales; Malvaceae
Description: long non-coding RNA (GBAR_LNC008797)
Source: RNAcentral
CCGAAUGCAUGUUUCAGCUUUGUAUACUUGAUUUUAUGUGAAUAUUGAAUGUGAAUGAAUGACUUUAUUAGUAAUGAAAUUAUAUUUGUUGUAUGGUGGUUCUGAUUUGAGUUAUAAGUUAAGUAAUGCCUCUUAACCUAUUCCGGCGACGGUUAUGGGUUAGGGGUGUUACACCUUGUCUUUAGCAAAUUUUAGAGUUUUUCCCUGAAUAAAGCCUUAACCUUGCUCAAUAAGCUUAUGUUUAAUUUUUUGUAAGCUUCUAUCAGAAUUGGCCUACUGGUCUGAUGAUUAAGUGGAGUGUGG